CGUUAAGUCAGAUGUGAAAGCCCGGGGCGUUAACCUCGGAAUUGCAUUUGAAACUGGCAGGCUAGAGUCUUGUAGAGGGGGGUAGGAAGUUUCAGGUGUAGCGGUGAAAUGCGUAGAGAUCUGAAGGAAUACCAGUGGCGAAGGCGGCCCCCUCGGACAAAGACUGACGCUCAGAUGCGAAAGCGUGGGGAGCAAACAGGAUUAGAUACCCUGGUAG
Molecule: ribosomal RNA, 217 nt
Filed under: uncultured bacterium
Lineage: Bacteria
Description: partial 16S ribosomal RNA
Rfam family: Bacterial small subunit ribosomal RNA
Source: RNAcentral